AUUGAACGCUGGCGGCAGGCCUAACACAUGCAAGUCGAACGAGUGGCGGACGGGUUAGUAGUGUCUGGGAAACUGCCCGAUGGAGGGGGAUAACUACUGGAAACGGUAGCUGAUACCCCAUAAACGCGGAUUUUCCCGGAUGGGAUUAGCUAGUAGGCGGGGUAACGGCUCACGUAGGCGACGAUCCCUAGCUGGUCUGAGAGGAUGACCAGCCAGACUGGAACUGAGACAGGGUCCAGACGCCUACGGGAGGGAGCAGGGGGGAAUAUUGAACAAUGGGCGCAAGCCUGAUGCAGCCAUGCGGAGUGUAUGAAGAAGGCCUUCGGGUGGUAAAGUACUUUCAGCGAGGAGGCGUUACUCGCAGAAGAAGCACCGGCUAACUCCGUGCCAGCAGCGGCGGUAAAC
This 405-nucleotide ribosomal RNA is filed under the name uncultured bacterium. RNAcentral describes it as "partial 16S ribosomal RNA". It matches the Rfam family "Bacterial small subunit ribosomal RNA", at positions 29 to 525 of the family's 1533-position model. The record is from RNAcentral.